GACGCGCACCACACACACAUAGCUCACUGCAUAUUCUGACUGGUAGUCCUAUCUCACAUUUCCAUUCUCCUUUGUUUGGAGAUGAGAUGUCAGCCCUGAGAAAGAAGCAUGAGGUCAGUAUUUUGUAGAGCGAACACGCACUGUCAGAGGUCACACGAGGCAGGAGGAAAAGGAGACCUCACUGACGGGGCUGUCAGAGGUCACAUGAGGCAGGAUGAAGAGGAGACCUCACUGAGGGGGCUGUCAGAGGUCACACGAGGCAGGAGGAAAAGGAGACCUCACUGACGGGGCUGUCAGAGGUCACAUGAGGCAGGAUGAAGAGGAGACCUCACUGAGGGGGCUGUCAGAGGUCACACGAGGCAGGAGGAAAAGGAGACCUCACUGAGGGGGCUGUCAGAGGUCACAUGAGGCAGGAUGAAGAGGAGACCUCACUGAGGGGGCUGUCAGAGGUCACACGAGGCAGGAGGAAAAGGAGACCUCACUGAGGGGGCUGUCAGAGGUCACACGAGGCAGGAGGAAAAGGAGACCUCACUGACGGGGCUGUCAGAGGUCACAUGAGGCAGGAUGAAGAGGAGACCUCACUGAGGGGGCUGUCAGAGGUCACAUGAGGCAGGAUGAAGAGGAGACCUCACUGAGGG
Brienomyrus brachyistius is the source of this 638-nucleotide long non-coding RNA. RefSeq lists it as uncharacterized. The transcript has 3 exons. Lineage: Eukaryota; Metazoa; Chordata; Actinopteri; Osteoglossiformes; Mormyridae. The record is from RefSeq and is a predicted model, not a curated record.